AGAGAGAGAGAACCCGGCAGGCUUAUUUCAACAAACAAAUCAAAGCACACCUGGUUAAAAGUCCUAACACUCCCCAUUGCAAGCAAGGAGGAGGUUUACAGAGGACAGACCAGUGGUAAAGAGCAGCCAAAAUGCAAUAGCAGAGUGCAAACGGCAUGCGCCAGAAAGACUUCCUGAAGUGCCAGGCUCUGGACAGUGUAUGACCACUUUUUAAUAUUGCAUUACUCUCAGGUGCAAGAAAUGUAACAAGCUUUCAAAACAUACAAAAGACAGAAACUUAGCCAAAAUGACAAUAAGGAGGAAUUCUCCCCAAAAGAAAGGUCAAGAAAGUCACAACCAGGAACUUGGUCAAAACAGAUACAAGCAAAAUAC
Herpailurus yagouaroundi (jaguarundi) is the source of this 372-nucleotide long non-coding RNA. RefSeq lists it as uncharacterized. The record is from RefSeq and is a predicted model, not a curated record. NCBI's taxonomy places the organism in Eukaryota, Metazoa, Chordata, Mammalia, Carnivora, Felidae. The transcript is spliced from 3 exons.